UAUAAUGACUCACUAAACAUAUAUAGAAUAAUGUUGCAUCCUAUUUAUUGCACAUUGCAGUUCAAGACAUAGAAAGGGAGUGGGAGUGUGGAAACUGUGAAGUGAAAACUACAAAAUCAAAUACGGUUCUAUGUGAAGGCUCAUGUUCAAAGUGGUUCCAUUGGGAUUGUGUUGGUAUUCAGUCUGCGCCUCCUACAAGUUGGCAAUGCAGUACAUGCCUUCUAAGCAAAGUGCCAAUGAAAUGUAAUUGUAAAACUGAAUCUCAAGAUGUUCAAAUCCAGGCAUAUAAAACAGUUCAAUUCUUGAAAAAAGCAUCUACAUUGUCACUAGCUUUAAACAAUAUGACAAGAACGGUGAAAGACAUCAGCAGACAUAUGACAGCAUGAUCCAGGGUUGAUUUUAGGGGGUAUUGAACAAAAAUCUGCUUCCAUGCCCAGGAACUGUAGUACGUAUUCUGCAGUCAGCCAUUACUAUGCCCACGACCUCAACAACACAACAAACUUACACUGUUAAUAUUAAACCGAUUCCUGCUAGCAGAAAGAAAAAAGAAGAGACAAAGUCGUAGGAGAUGGCAAUUGCCUUUUCAGAGCUCUUUCAAAGCAGCUGUUUGGAUCAGAUGACACACACAAAGACAUAGAAUGUACCUCAGCCAAGUGAUCAACCUCAACAGUCAAGUUUAUUCAACAUACUUUAUACCUUGCAGACAGACAAAACGUUUGAAGAACUUAAGCAAAAUAUACAGGUUCCUGGCACAUGGGGCACUCAGCUUGAGCUACAAGCAGUCAGUGACUGCUUCCAAUUGCCAGUGUAUGUUUACUCACCACAUCCCGGGAGUGGUAUCUACAGAUGGCUCAUCUUCCGACCUAGGAUCAAAUUGCUUCAUGUGCCAAGUAAAGUCGUGUUACCUAAACCCUCUCUUCCAUACACUGAAAUUGACAUCCAACUGGCACAUACCGGGUGUCACUAUGACAGUGUCACCAGUUCUGUGGCACUUGAUCAGAAAUUAAACUGUCCUCAUCUUCCAGAUCUAGAUGAAGCAUUUGAGACUAGAAUAAUAAGCAGUGACAGUGACAGCGACUCAGAAGAACUUUAAGCAGUUUGUUGCGAUUACAAGUAUUUUGCUUUGUCUGAAAUUACUUAACAAAUUAUUUUGCUGCCGUAAUCAAUGGCAACUUCAUUGGGUAAAUUUACCAAAUCCCCACAUCAUUGUAACACUACUUCCAUAGCUCUGUUUCUUAGCUUUGUUUCUUUCUUUUAUCAAC
Molecule: long non-coding RNA, 1262 nt
Organism: Corticium candelabrum
Lineage: Eukaryota; Metazoa; Porifera; Homoscleromorpha; Homosclerophorida; Plakinidae
Exons: 4
Source: RefSeq, a predicted model, not a curated record